Podarcis lilfordi (Lilford's wall lizard) is the source of this 9083-nucleotide non-coding RNA. NCBI's taxonomy places the organism in Eukaryota, Metazoa, Chordata, Lepidosauria, Squamata, Lacertidae. The record is from the annotation of a GenBank genome assembly.
CAACAAAUCACCAGAACAGAGCUAACAGGACAACAGCAUCACUAUUGCAUCAACCACAAUAUUGUGAUUAAUUCAGUCCCCAACUGAAAUGAAGGUCGCAAACACGAUGGCUGAUAUUUGAACAAAAUGAGAAAAGUACCUGAGGAACCCUAAGGAUGACAAAUAAAGGAAAUAAAUUCUCAGGGUGGCCUUGAGAACUAUUUAAGGGUGGACAUAAGCCAGCGAUGGGGAAUCUCAGACACCUGGUCGUUGGGAGCUCACCAAGUCAUAAUCUCUUAUCAGGCCGCACCCUUGCCUUAUCUACCAUGCAUCUUCCUUAAGUGUUUUGUGCCUGGCUGGAAUGUGACCUUGGGAAUCUGUUAAUACCUCUUGGUUGCCUGGACAGAAGAUGGAGAGGAUGUGUAGACACCAGCCUGCAGUACAAAGGUAAAAUUCAACUCUUCCCAUAUUUGCCUCUGGCCUUGCCGACUGACAUAUGACCCCAGACGCUUAUCACAUGGGAAUGUGGCCUUCAAGCAGCAAAUGUAGAAAGUAAGGAAGAGGCAUUUAGUCACGGCAAUAGCGGUACAAGCUCAGCAGUAAGCACCAAGCUCCAGAAGUCAAGAUUUCAAGGUACGUAAGCAAGGCAAGGGGUUCAUCACUAAAUGGAAACUAUGAAGAUGUAUCAAUGGUUGACACACCCCUCUCACCCAGCAUUCAAAGGUAAGAUGGGAUGAGCUCAAUCAUGGGACUCUCUAGCCCUGUGAAUCUGCUGCAUGUGGGUAGAGACCAUCUUGGCUGUGAGUCCUGGAAGAUGUGCUCCCUGCCUUGCAGGCCUUUUCCACCUGUCUGUCUCUAGCUACAAAAGCUGAGGCUGCUGAACAGACCCUUGGGUUGGGGUCUUGUUUAUGGUUUUUUGUUGGGGGAGGGUGUUGUUGCUUUUGUUGUUAUUAAUCUUUUGUAGCUUUAUUUUAGAUCUUCUGAUUUAUGUGGAAAUUGUGCAAUUUGGUCCUGUAUUUUCCCAUGCUUUAUUUAUUGUUUUGUGAUUACUUUCAUUAUGUUUGUAAUUGUGUGAUUUUUUUUCAUGUUGCAAGCCACCUUGGGCAUGAUUUGAACUAUGGAAAGGCGGCAUACAAAUGAAAUUAUGUAUGCAUGUAUGUUUGAUCUCACCAACAAUGUUGUGCUUGGUCCUGUCAACAAGGUGGUGUCUUGCCCUUCUGCCUCUGUCUCCUCUGCCAGCUCCUUUCUUUCCCUCUGGCUGGUUGAAGUCCCCAUCCCUGAUGAGGCUCUGUGCUCUACCUAAGGGGUAGAAGAGAGAGUCUCCCUAUCUGACAUCUAGAUUCACCAGGGAACAAACUCUUUCCUCCAUCCCUGAGUGCCAGCCUUUCCAACCUCCAUCUCCUCCUUCCUUCUGCUGUUCCUUGUCCACCAGAUUCUGAUGGAGCUGAGGGGCCCAGGGCAAUGAGUUCAAAUCCUGCAUAUCCAGGGUCUUAAUUCAUGGACAGAGAGUAUCCCCACUUCAGACCCUUUCCUCUAAUUCAUGGAAAGUGCUGCUGGGGGUGCAACAGAUGAAGAGAGGUCAUUGAAUACAACUCUGAUGUCCACCUCACAUGAUUCUGAGCACCUGAGUGACUGAGUGCCCAGAUAGUGUUGAUGCAAGAAGCUAAUUCCUUUUUGAAAAGUCAUGAUUCAACUCCUCUCCAAAUCAGGAGUUAUUAAAAGACCUAAAUCUUGUCUGCUUGCACUUCACCUCAUAAGACUUUAAGAUGCUUCAUAGUCAUAUUUUCUAUCAUAUGCAGUCAUUGUAGAAAAAUGAGACAUCUAAGAAUAUAUAUGCUUGUAUUCUCUAAUGCAGUUGAUCAUAUUUGCAACUUUUAUGGUGCAGGUAUUUGCCUAUGAAUUCCUCCCACCCAGUCAUUGUACUGUCUGGGAAUUCCAAAUGUCCUUAUUAAUGUUUUUAAAAAUUACUAAGUCUGGUGCAUAGGGUUAAAAUACACCCUGGGAAUGUGAUAAUGAACGUCUCUUGCUAGCCUUCACAGAAGAUGUGUGUGGCAAAAGAAACUUCUGACUUGCACACCCUCCAACAUAUCACAGCAAAAACCAGGCUGCACAUAUUCCAGGCCGUGCUGCCAAGUAAGUCACGUGACCCGCACAAGAGUACAGAGACCCAAACCGUGUGUUUUGGGGUGCCGUGCUCUCAUGUGAGAGCAAUGCACCCCAAAACAGGAUGCCCCACUUUAAUUGGGACAGUUGAGAGGUAUGAUGUAGCCCCCUCUACAAAUCAGUAACAACCAUUGCUCCUCCCACUUUUGCCUCUGGUCAUGCCCACCAUGGGCAUGUGACCCUGGAGGAAAUGCCGCCAUUGGACGAAUAAAGGUUCCCUACCCCCAUUUUACAGAAGGCUGCCUGUCAGUAUGACAGGCUUACGGAUGCUAUCAGGGCAGGAAUUUAGAGCAAAAGUCUAGGGCCCUACUCAUCAGGAUGAGAGCCCCCUAAUGCAGCAGGUCUGGCUUACCUCCUUUUGAAGGAAGUGAAGCAACCCACAUUUCCACCCAAGGGAGGGCUGUAAAGCCAUUAAGUCCAAAGUCUGAAAUUACCUGCCUACACCACUCAGAGUGUAGUAAGGCUGGAAGUAAAUAAGUAACAAGGGCAGGGGCUAUCACCAUGUUAGGUCAAAGCUGGGGUGAUCUGUCCUGGGAAAAGCCUAGCCCCUGCUUACAGCAGUAUCACAGUUCUCAUAAUAAGUUGGGAUGAGUGAAGAGGUGCAACCCUGUCAAUUUUGACCAAAUUUGAUUUUGGAAUCCCACAGCAUCUAUAAAAUUAUAGAGUACUGACACUCCCAAAACCAUAGUUUUAUGUAGGGAAAGGGUUGUAGCUUAAGGGUGGAGCAUCUGCUAUGGACGCAGAAGGUGCGAGGUUCAAUCUCCAAUACUCUAGGUAGGUCUGAAACCCUGGAGAGCUGCUGGCAGUCAGUGUAGACAGUCCUGAGCUAGAUGAACCAUUGGUUUGAUUCAGUAUAAGGCAGAUUCCUAGGCUCCUUCACUGUGCAGUAAUUUGAUAAUGUGCCUGAUCACGUGAAUGUAUCCUCUGUGGCAGUUUUGAAAACAGACUCCUUUUUAUUAUUAUUUCCAGCUACAUAACAUUGUAUUUAGCAGAUUUGUUCUUGCCUCAGGGGCCUGGGCGCAAUUCAUGAACCAAUUAAAUUAAGGAAGAGGGGGAGGAAAGAAACAAAGAGGGAGAGGUAAACUCAAACAGCAUAGAAACCCAAGGCAGAGAAGAGCCUGUGCCUUUGAGAAUGCAGCCCAUUUCAUUAAUUCACAAGUAACAGAAUAUCCUUUCAAGCCAGCUUUUUAAAGAUAAAAUAAAAUCAGGAAGUCUCAUACCUGCCAAUCAUUCUGUGCCCUGUGUCAUGUGUUUUGUAACCUUAUACAUCCACAACAUUAUGCAUAUGGGAGUCAAGACAAGUUUUAAAGUACAUACAGUGACUCCUGAACUUCUACACCCUUUUGGACAAGUAUAUGUACAAUGAUUUCUGUUCAGUGCAUCCCCUGCCUGCCCUUUCUUCCUGGGAUCAUACACUGGAACUUGCCAGACUUAUCACAAACAUCGUAGGGACACAUGUUGCAUCUGAUUGCCGUUGAUCCGUAUGCCGAGAGAAGGAAAAUUCAAGGAAUUGAGAUCUCUCUGGUUUUCUGCUAAUCUGUGCUGUUAAGGUGUAUUUGUAAUGAGAUUUUGCCCUCCCAUUCUUCAUACGCUGUGAGGUGCUCCAAAGUGAAAUCUGGUAACAUGACCAGUAGUGAUAUAUUCCUUGCUUUUUGGCCAUUUAACUCAGACAUUUAUGGGUGUGAAGGUGUGUUAGUGUGAACGAGUAUAUACAUGUGUCACAGAGAAACAGCAGAAGGAACAAAAUGCAGCAUCUGUGAGUCAAGAACUGAGCCAGCUGUGAGUGUUCAUGCCUAUUCAAAAAGACAUAUUAGGCUUGUCUGUGAAGUGACUUCUGUGAUCUUAUCUUGUGAAUGAGACCAACAAAUCUCAUAGAUCUGGCUCCUAAGGACGUGGUGGCAAGGGAGAACAAUGUGUACUGAACUAAGGAAGGCACACUCCACAUGGAUCUCAACCUCUGGAUCUUAUGAUGAAUGCCUCCUAAAUUUCUAUCGCAGAGGUGAGAAUGAAGACAAUUUGUUUUAACUCAGGGAAGGGCUGUCUGAUGUGGCAAAGAUGCAACAACUGACAACCAGAACCAUUCUCUUAGCUUCACAGCAUUUGGUUUUGCCAUUAUUAGCAAUACUGAGAGUCCAACAACGUAUUACAUUAAAUGCAUAAAAAACAUUGAAUGAUACACGGAAGCUCUUUUCAUAAAGAAGCUUGCCCGUGGUAAACAUAAUACUCAGUGUAACAGUGGUGAGCAGGAGCCUGACUUUGGAGAGUGAAGGAAAACACCGGGUCCUUUCAACAUGCUUUUCCUCUACACAUGAGUAGCAGGUGGAGAGGGCUAAUAACCAAGGCCAAUCCUAAAUUAUUAAGCUGAAGCCUUUUCUAAUCAAGAGCAAAAAUUCCUUUUGAAGAUCAAAUUACCCUUUAUGGAGGCUGCGGUUACAAUAGCCACAAGGCUUAAGCACUGAGGUUGUCUCAAGGAAGGGAAAUUACAGUUUUGAAAUCUCAUUAGAAUAAUUAUCCAGCGUUGCCUGCUCCUUUUGCUAGCUCCAGGCAUCCAUAAUCCUCGGCUACUUUUGAUUUUGAUCUCUAUGUCCUUCACUCUGUGCCCCCUCUGCCCGAAAAGGAUUUGCUAAAAAGAAUGAAAGUUCUUGUUGACUAAUCUUCAUCCAGGUAUGAGUCCCUGGUGGCCCUAUGCAAAACAUCUCUUAGGGCACACACCAAGAUUUGUUUUGUAACUAUGAUUAAAAAGCUUACAUUACGCUUCUAGCAAAAGAAACGUAAGAUCACUAAAAAGAAAAAGUUAAUUGGCAGUUGGAAGGGGUCUUUCUUUUUUGCAUGAAUGUGGUUUUUUUUUUACCACAUUACGAUCAUGAAAUGGGUUAUAAGUAGUUUCUAAGCAGAUGUAGAAUUGCUGAAAUUCAGUCCUAUUUGAUAUGAAGGAAAUGUUCUUUGCUGUACAUCUUCUCUUUAUAUACUGAUACUACUAAAAUGUAAUCUUGCUUUCAAGGAUAAGCAACAAACCACAACGUAUCACAUCAUUAAAGGUAAAGGGACCCCUGACCGUUAGGUCCAGUCGCGGACGACUCUGGGGUUGCGGUGCUCAUCUCGCUUUAUUGGCCGAGGCGUACAGCUUCCGGGUCAUGUGACCAGCAUGACUAAGCCACUUCUGGCGACCCAGAGCAGCACACGGAACCGCCGUUUACCUUCCCGCCAGAGUGGUAUCUAUUUAUCUACUUGCACUUUGACGUGCUUUCGAACUGCUAGGUUGGCAGGAGCAGGGACCGGGCAACGGGAGCUCACCCCGUUGUGGGGAUUCGAACCGGCGACCUUCUGAUCGGCAAGUCCUAGGCUCUGUGGUUUAACCCACAGCGCCACCCGUGUCCCACAUCACAUCAUUAGGUGUGAUGAAAUCCUAUUACCGUAUUGGCCCGAAAAUAAGCCGCACCUUUAAAAUUGGAGGAGGGGAAAGAAAAAAUGAAUAAAUAUCUGAAUAUAAGACCCUCCCUUCUCCGCUGCUCCUGGCUGCAUACUGGGGGGGGGGGGAAGCCGCACUGCGUUGCCGGCGGCCUAUCCCCUUCCUCGCUCUCUCCUUUCCUGGCCUUGGAGGAGAGGAUGGGGGACUACGCACAGGGUGGGCGCUGCUUCGCUGUGCUCCUGGCGCUGUUUGUCCUGUGCUCCUGGCUGCAUACCGUAAGGUCACAAGUAUAAGCCACACUUUAACUUUACACGGUCAGAAUUUGAGGGGAAAGUGUGGCUUAUAUUCAGGGCAAUACGGUAAUUUCAAAGUGUGCAUAACUGUGUACUGAACUAUGGUGAAUGAAUACAGGCUGCCUAAACAGUCUAAACAAUCACAAAAAGGAGAUCCAUGGAGAACAAAUAUGAACCAAGACAUGCCCCCAAAAAACUCACGUGAGCUUUUUAUUCAUGCAUUGCAGAAUCUCAUUCAAAAGUCUCAUUCAUUUCAGUUCUGUUGGCAAGUCAGAGUAUGCUGCCAAACAGCUGCUCCAUUGUUUUCCAUAAAUGGGUGCACAUGUAACCAGUGAAUGCUAAACCCACUUCUGCCGUUACUGAAUUUCCUCCUUUUGACUCUGCCUCUCUUAAUAUAAGAUGUGAAUUAAUUAGCAAUGUAGAUUUUUAAUCCAACGCACCCACUUCUGAUUAGGUUUGGAGAAAGCAACAACUGCCAAUCCAAUGCUUUGCAUUGUGCCAAAGACCACUGCUGUAGCACCUGGUACAAGUACAAUCAAUAUUUUCUUAUUCCUGGCCAAGCUAUAGACCUUCACACUUAAUAUUCAUUUUUUGUAAUAAAAUAAAAAUCUUCUUUUGUGAUUACAGUCUUGCCCUGAUGCAAAGAGGUUUCUUGGCCCUUUGGGCAUGUAAAUGAAAUGAAUUAACAAAAAUCCUUUUGCUUAACGGGCUACUCUGUUAGCAGUUUUGAAAAAUUUUAGGUAAGCCUAAAGAGACUUGUAAAUAUAUUGCAUAUACCUGUUCUUAAACUCUGUUGAUUUUAUCUAUAUUUUGGUAAUUUUAUUUUGUCAACUUGUUUUUAAAGUCUGCUGGUUUUAUUGCUAUUUCCUUAUAAAUAUUUUAUACUGUUUUACGUAAAUUACUUCAGGGGUGUUUUUUUUAAUUAAGUGGUCUAUAGAUUCCAAUAAAUAAAUAAGAGUAAGAUGUACUCAACCACAGUGAAACCUUUCCCCUGUGUUUCUGUGUGAGUUACUGUUCUGGGUACUUUUAUUGAUUAGAAAUAGCUUGGAGCAGUGAUUUACACAGAAACGCAAAGGUAGUAAUACACUUUGCCUUCCCUCAAACAAAUUGGGUUGAUUCAGAUUUUCCAACUAAGUGCUCAGAAAUGUUGAGGUUUUUAAAGUGUUCAGAUGAACUUUAAAUUGCCCCAAAGAGGACUCCCAUCAUUUGCAAGCACAGAUUAUUGGGAAAUAGUGGAAGCAGUGCAUGAAUCCCAAUUCGAAUCGGAGCAAGCUUAAAGGUUGCUUCCCCCAACUUCAAUUAGAUCUGCCUUGCCUGAGAAGGUGCCCUCACACCACUUUCCCAACAUUAUUAUGCUGUAUCUCUACAACUGCCUGAAUGAUCCAAAUGCACAGAUGCAGGGAUGUGAUGGAGAUACUUACCCUUGACAGAGACUGAUAAGAAUGGGGCAGGGCAAAUGAAUCACGCCAAGGACACUGAAGACAGCCUUCUUUGUGCAUGGAUAUUUUGGGCUCCUGGGAAUCUUCAUUUUAUUGAUCAACUGUCAUACUUAGGGUCCUAUGGAUUUCUUCUUCUUUUACAUUAGCUUAGCCAGAUGGGAAUUGUUAAAGUCCGUCCUGCAGUCCUCAGGAAUAGGGGAACCCCCAAACCAUUCAACAUUGAAGCUCCUAUUCAUGAACUAGGGCUUAUAUCACACCAGCAAAAUAGCCAAAUGUAGAACCUCCCCCAAUGGGAGUCCCCCAAAGGACACCACCAGGGAACAUUCCGAAGGAAAACUCUAGUUCAAAUCAUGCUGUUCAGGGUAGCCACAUCUGCAAAGAAGAUUUGGAGAGUUUAUCUUUCAUUUGUAGAGUGAAUGAAUUGCCACCAUAUUGCACGUGCAAUUUGUCUGAUUUUUCUGUUUCUUUUAUCACUUUUGAUUUGUGAAUAAUUUCUCAGUGGUGGCCAAUUGCCAAACUUUUUUGAGCCAUAAGUCCAGGGUUAGUCCUUGUAAAGCCUUCCAGAUUUGAACUGUAGAUAGUUGAGAAGUCACUUUUUUAAAUAGCCAAAAAAUCCUUAGUCUUAACAACAGCAUUUGGGUGUUCAAAGAUGGUAGCAUAAACAAAUCUGGGGUGAGAAAUCCAUAGGCUUCUAAAUUAUUUUGGAUGUUUCCGAGGAUACUAGUCCCCAAAAUGCUUGCAUUAGUGGGCAACUCCACUAUAAGUGAUAAGUCCCCUUCAUGCCACAUAGCCUCCAGCACCAUAGUUGGAAUGUUGGCAAUAUAUCGGCAAGCUGAACCAGAAUCUGGUACCACCCAAAGGUAUUUUCUCUAAUAUACGCAGAGGCAGGUUUUUACAGGGCUUGUAGGCUUUUAUUCUCCAUUGUGUCUCGUCUAUGCCUCGUCUAUGCCUUGUUCUAAAUAUCCCUGAAAAAAGUUUGGGAAAUACUAUAUAUAUAUGUGUGUGUGUGUGUGUGUGUGUGUGUGUGUGUGUGUGUAUGGUGUUCUCAUGAUACCAACAGAAAAAUCUGUAAAGUUUAAUAAAGCAACACAAUCUUUUAAUACCUCAGAAGGUUAACUUCUUUCUUUUCUUCUUUUUAGGGAGGAGACAGUAGGUCAAGUGAGGAUAAAGAUGGACACCUCAUCUGCUGGGUGAUAGCAAUGAUAAACCUGAAUAGCUUUCAGUUUCUUCAGUAUAUGCAUCUGAAGAAAAGAAAAGCAGAAAAGAAAGCCAACUGACAAUGUGAUUGCCUGCAAAAAGGAUUUUUGGGGAAAUCAUCUCCCAGUUCCAUUUCUCCAGUGAACUGAACAUAGCAGAUGAAAAAGAGGUCACAAAUUUAUGAAACGGCAUGGUCUUCCAGCCAGACAUCAAUACCCGUAGAAAGAUUUGCAGUGUUAAAAGCUCAGAGCCAAUGUAUUCAGUGGACAGGACUUUUGGACUAAGACCUAGGUUCAUGAUCCAUUCAAAUAUUAAGUUGAUUAAUGUCUUUGGUGUCACUUCUUAUUAGUUCUCUUAUUUGCAAAGUGAAAAUGUGCACAUUUGCAAGGUUGUAACGAAGGUUAAUAUUGUAAUGUGUAAAAAGCAUACCCACACACUGCAGAAACUCUUACUGUGCAAGUUUCAGCAUUUUUCUGAAUAAUUCAUCUAACAGUGUCCCGGGAAGUGUGCAAAGGACUUCAGCUUAGGCCUGGGAUUUCUGACUUCCUUCCAAAGAGCUACAGAUGAGUUCACAUUAGGGAUGGACUGAUCUGUCAAUGUUGG